UCUGGGAAACCCGAAAGAUCGAAAGGGGAGAUUCACCGUCAGCGACACCGGCUUCUCGACGGUUCGUCGUGCGCGCACGCGGCAUCCCUCGCGGAUGUCCCGCGUUGUCGUCGUACGGUGUCCGUUGUGCGCGCUCCGCGUGCGAUUUAUGUCCGGCGGCGUCGGCGUGCACUUCUCCCCUAGUAGAACGUCGCGACCCGUUGAGCGUCGGUCUACGGCCCGGGCUGUCGCCUGUCCCGCCGCCUCGCGGCGUCGCGGUACAGACACCCGGUGCAUCCCCCGACCGGCUGCCCGGCGGUAUUACGCACACGGUACUCUGGCCGCAAUCUUUGAACUGCGUCCUUCGAAAAAGGCUCGCCGCAAGCGCGGUCAGUGAUGUCUACUCCCCGGUGGUUCGGACGAACUAUGCCGUCCCCGGGCCUGACCCGCUGUUCGCCGGCGAUGUCCUCGGACAGGCCACGUACGUACCGGUCGGCGACGCUAUUGCUUUGG
This 492-nucleotide ribosomal RNA is filed under the name Evaniella sp. 234. Its description in RNAcentral is "eukaryotic LSU rRNA". The record is from RNAcentral. Lineage: Eukaryota; Metazoa; Arthropoda; Insecta; Hymenoptera; Evaniidae.